Malassezia globosa CBS 7966 is the source of this 80-nucleotide transfer RNA. It matches the Rfam family "tRNA". From Rfam's summary of the family: Transfer RNA (tRNA) molecules are approximately 80 nucleotides in length. Their secondary structure includes four short double-helical elements and three loops (D, anti-codon, and T loops). NCBI's taxonomy places the organism in Eukaryota, Fungi, Basidiomycota, Malasseziomycetes, Malasseziales, Malasseziaceae. The record is from Rfam.
GGGGAAUUAGCUCAGUGGUAGAGCGCUUGCUUAGCACCUUCGAUUGCAUGAGGUCGUGGGUUCAAUUCCCACAUUCUCCA